UCUAAUAUGGCAGAUUAGUGCAAUGGAUUUAAACCUCAUAUAUAAAGAUUUUUCUUUUUUUAGAA
RNAcentral lists this transfer RNA (65 nucleotides) under Melyridae sp. 'Dasytidae' GENSP01. RNAcentral describes it as "tRNA-Leu". Lineage: Eukaryota; Metazoa; Arthropoda; Insecta; Coleoptera; Melyridae. The record is from RNAcentral.